Molecule: long non-coding RNA, 335 nt
Organism: Erigeron canadensis
Lineage: Eukaryota; Viridiplantae; Streptophyta; Magnoliopsida; Asterales; Asteraceae
Exons: 4
Source: RefSeq, a predicted model, not a curated record
GUAAACUAUGCCGGAAAAUAUGCUACUGGAGAUGAAAUAUUCUUGGCAGACUUGUAUCUGGCAUUCCAACUUGAUAAUGCAAUCAACCGGUUCAAGGUUGACAUGGCCGAGUUCCCACUUCUACUUAAGUUGAACAAGACUUACAGAAAAACACCAUCUUUCCAACAGAUUUUGACCGAGACUAUAUCAGAUGAUCCAGUUUUUGGCAUUGUCAAGCGACAAGAGGCUUAAGGCAUGUCAUCUUAAGGUAAAACCACGUUUGACUUGAUAAGACCUGCUCGAAUAAACUCAACAAGCUUAAGCUAUCCUAUAGCUUCUAUCUUCUUGUGUAGAAU